GCAGCCAGCCCCUCCCCUUUAUUGACUUCCGUUGGCGGGAAGAGGGUCUGGUAAGGUUCCUUUGAUGUCUUGGUUUUUCCUACCCCUGCAUUCCAUGGGGCAUAAAGUCUUAACGAUGAUCUGUUAAUUGAGAUAAGCGACCAACCGAUGGGAACUCAUCUGGUAAUUAGUAUGUGUUGUACAGCGAAGUUUUCGUUUCUGUGUCUGUUGCAGGUGCUGCUGGACUUUGUUCUUGUUUUAGGCGAGUUCAUUUGCUCUCACGGGUUGCGUGGCAAGAGAAGCGCGCAGGUCGUACGUCUUCUUGUGCGACAGCCUUGGCAGAGUAUUUGGACGAAAUUCAUCAAAAGAAUGACUACGUCAUCUUGAUACACAUCUUCAAGACUUCCAUUCUUCCUCUCUUUUCUUAUGGUGCUGUUGCUGAUGAAGCAUGGGGAAUAGGUCAAUGGCAACAACAGCUUGACGACGCUCAAGAAAGAGCUCUUGAUGUAGUCAACAUAUACAAAGAAGCUUUAGAAUCGAAACAAAUACCAUUUCGCAUUAUUACAACACCCGGGUCUGCUGGUCACGUGAUCUGUACCAUUGCAAAUGAACAUCAAGUUAAUAUGAUAGUGAUGGGCAGUCAUGGGGUUGGGAUGAUAACUGGGACGGUGCUUGGGAGUUUCAGUGACUACGUGCUGCAUAACGCCAAUGUGCCAGUGACAAUCGUACCUCCUAGAGAAUAGGAACGUGUGACUGCCACCUGUAAUUUGCCACAUAUAAUUCCUGACAUGAUUUGCAGUUAGGAAAUUAUUGAUGCAAUAUGUUUCUGUUUUAGCACGCAAAUUAGCUGCUAGCUGUUCAUGCAAUUACUGUGUAUGUGUAUCCAUGAAAUUAGAGCUUGGAAUAUUCAGAAAUUUACAGUUUGCUUAAUUAGAAAAUCAUCAAACGAUU
This is a long non-coding RNA of Corticium candelabrum, 930 nucleotides long. RefSeq lists it as uncharacterized. The transcript is spliced from 4 exons. NCBI's taxonomy places the organism in Eukaryota, Metazoa, Porifera, Homoscleromorpha, Homosclerophorida, Plakinidae. The record is from RefSeq and is a predicted model, not a curated record.